RNAcentral lists this ribosomal RNA (393 nucleotides) under uncultured bacterium. RNAcentral's name for it is "partial 16S ribosomal RNA". It matches the Rfam family "Bacterial small subunit ribosomal RNA", at positions 523 to 918 of the family's 1533-position model. The record is from RNAcentral.
AUACGGAGGAUCCGAGCGUUAUCCGGAUUUAUUGGGUUUAAAGGGAGCGUAGGUGGAUAGUUAAGUCAGUUGUGAAAGUUUGCGGCUCAACCGUAAAAUUGCAGUUGAUACUGGCUGUCUUGAGUACAGUAGAGGUGGGCGGAAUUCGUGGUGUAGCGGUGAAAUGCUUAGAUAUCACGAAGAACUCCGAUUGCGAAGGCAGCUCACUGGACUGCAACUGACACUGAUGCUCGAAAGUGUGGGUAUCAAACAGGAUUAGAUACCCUGGUAGUCCACACAGUAAACGAUGAAUACUCGCUGUUUGCGAUAUACAGUAAGCGGCCAAGCGAAAGCAUUAAGUAUUCCACCUGGGGAGUACGCCGGCAACGGUGAAACUCAAAGGAAUUGACGGGG